This is a non-coding RNA of Delphinapterus leucas (beluga whale), 772 nucleotides long. Lineage: Eukaryota; Metazoa; Chordata; Mammalia; Artiodactyla; Monodontidae. The record is from RefSeq and is a predicted model, not a curated record.
CUUGCGGGGAAGAACCGCUGCGCGGAGCCUUCCGGACUUCGGUUCCACCUCCCCGCUGCAAAUCUGUGCUCUGCGCGCGCGGCCGCCAGCCGGGCAAAGAUCUGGCUGCGUGUGGGAAAAGACAGUAACCUGGAAACAGGCCAUCCUCAACAAGUAUAAUAAUAGGUAUAGACAGUGUCUCUUGACUCCCAGCUUUAAAAGAUGAAGAUGCCAGCAUCUCUAACCUUCCAGGCCCGGCUCCUCCCUGCCUCCUCUCCUACCACCUGCCUUGGCCAGGCAAGCUCCUCUCAUCUGGAUGACUGCGGAGGCUUCUGAGUUAAAUGAACAAAUGAAUAAAUGCUAUGAGUGUUGAAAUUAGCGAUAUGAAAUAUAAAUGUGUAUGCCCCAGGACGCCAUCUGAAAUGUAAUUGAACGUUUUUCUCUGCAGGCUGCAGGUGAGAAUAGGUGAUCAUAUAUCAGCAUAUGUAACCCAGAGAUCUAGCAGUAUGCCCGCACCCCUCUCACCCAGUAGCUAAUGUGUACCUGGUAAAAGACCGCUAGUAUCACCAGGAAGUCUGCAGACACACAGACGUGCAUCUCUGUUGACUAACUGAAAGUACAGUAGUAUGGCCGUUAGAACUUUAAGAGAGAAAUCAGAGAAUCUGAGACACUGACCACGCGAAUAACCAGAUUAUCAGAGAAUGAGCUGCUUUGCUUAGGAUGGUUGAUGGUUCUGAGAGGAGCAAGUGUGGUCCUAGUUUCAAAGAGUAUGGUGUAUGACCCACCCCCACCC